Small nuclear RNA from Camelus dromedarius (Arabian camel), 107 nucleotides. Lineage: Eukaryota; Metazoa; Chordata; Mammalia; Artiodactyla; Camelidae. The record is from Ensembl.
GUGCUCGCUUCAGCAGCACAUAUACUAAAAUUGAAACAAUACAGAGAAGAUCAGCACGGUCCCCAUGCAAGGAUGACACACAAAUUUGCGAAGUACUCCAUAUUAAA